CCGAUCUAAUAAUGCUAAAUCCUUCAAUAGAAUUGAGUAUAAAAAACUGAGACAUUUUAUUUCGUGUGAAACAGUUGCUCUAAGUAGGCUAACAUAAUGCAUUAAAUUCUGAUAUAUUUUAUGUUAUUCUACCGGUUUGCCGUGCCAACUCUGCAUGGGGUACCUGUGAGAUGCGUUCUAAGAAGAAGAUGGGAUUCAGGCUCUGGGGUUGUUAAUAAAAAAGCCAGACAUGUGUUGAAGAAAAUAGAAUAUGAUGUGAAACAGUUAGAAAAUUAUAAAGAUUUGCUUAGCAUGCGUUUGCUGAGAAGAAUAAAAGAAGUCUUAAAGCCCAUGAAGACAAGAUCACGGCGUAAAGUUAUUCUGGAUAAUAUAUAUAUCAUAAGUUAAAUGUUCACGUAAUGAAAAAACCAUUUUUGUAAAUAUUUUUCAAAUAAUAGGCAAUUAUGCUUCUGCAUCCCAUUUUUUUUUAGAAAAAAACAAACACAAAAAGAAUGAUAGAAAGAACUGAAAUAGGUACACAAUUUUCACGUUGACAUCUCUGCAAUCAGCUGGAUUCACAUCUUUUAAUAUUGGUUACUAAUGGUUAAUUUUCAUUUAAACUUGUAAUUAAAAAGACCAGUUAAUUAAAAGCCGAAUUUUUUGUUAAGAUAAUGGUAAUUACUAUCAAUUAACUGAUCGCCUGAAUAUGUGGUUUUUGUCACCAGGCAAAAUUUUUGAUUUAAUCUCAUCAGAUCGCUAUCGAAAGUUAGAACCAACCUUCUCUAGACCAUAUGGAAAUAUAACAGAAUAUUACUGUUUUUAAUAACAUUUCAACGUCCUUAUCUUUUGUGUUAUACAGAUUAUGCUUUGAUUAGGACAAAGCCAAUGUUUCUGUAUACAUGUCAUGAGAAAAUAUUCGUACAAUAUUUAAAACAGGGCAUAUAGGGGCCCUUUUGUCAACCGAUUUAUUAAAUCCUUCUCUAAUUACAUUUUGGUAGAUUCGUACAUCGCUUAUGUCAGCACUUUUCCUGUGACGCCCCCAAGUAACGUUUUUUUAUAAUAACUCCUUAAUGCUAUGUUACCCUUCAGAGGCUUUGAUAUUUGCUAUUACUCGAAACUACCCCUAAAAAUCUCUAUGAAACCUUUAUAAUGAGGAAAGUACAAUAACUCUUAUCAAGAUUAUCCUUAGAACAUGAAACUUAAGACACAACUUUGUUUCAUCAAGAAGAAUCUAUCCCCAUCUUUUGGACACGUGAUUAAUCUGAUUUCCCGAUUUUUGCAGAUUUUACCCGAAAGUCGUACUUAAACGGUUUUUUGGGCAAUUUUGGGCAAUUUAUCAUGCAAUCUAUGUAAAAAUCGGAAAAUAUGUUAAACAAUGUUUAAUUAGCUUCCAGAAACUUCAAAAAGAAUGUAAAAAUUCGCUCUAGAACUAAAGUCAUUGAAUUUUAAGCAGAUAGUGACAUUUUAAACAAAAGCUUUUGAUGACGUCACAGAGAAUGUGCUGCCGCAAGCAAAAAUUUAUUGUGGCCAUUUUGUUCCUUUUGUGACGUACUAUAAGUGUGCUAACUUUGAUUCAAUUUGGACAAGCGUAUGAGAAGUUAUUAAGGGGGUAGAUUCCGCCCACCGUUAUAUUAUGUUCGAAAAACCGCGGACCAAAUAGGGUAAACCUAUUGAAAAAAGCCAACAUUGCCCUAAAAUUGGAUUCCUUUCCAAGCACACAAACAUGUUGUUGCUAAUAUAUUAUUAUAUAAUUUAUUAUUUCAUUACCCAUUCUCAUUCUACAAAAAAAACCCAGCUGAAAUAUACAACUAACCUGAAAACAAGGUUAGUUUAGAGAAAUAAUUUUCCACCGAAAGUGAUGCACACUUCGUAGUUUGUUUACCGUUAUUAUUUCUCAAACUAAGCACUCAAAUGAGCUAAUCAUUAACGUUUGGUAAAAGAAAUAAAACAUGGCAUUUGUUUCCUACCCAUUGGGCUUAUUCAAUUUGCUAGAUUGCAUUUUUUUCUAAUGCUUAGCUAGCUAUAGUUAUUUGUUUUAGAUUUCAUAUUUUACACUGGAAUUAUUGCCUUCUACCUAGCUAGCUAGUUGAGGCAUUAUUAAAACACAAUUUUGUAUUUGUUGACAUAUAUACCGCAUCUGGUGUUAUUGGAUAUUUUCAUUUUUUGGAACAUCUGUAAAUAACAUUAUGACUGGGCUGCCCUGAGUAUGUUGUUGGAUUUGGGUAUGGUGGUCGAGGUAGUGGGCUAUACUUUUAAAUUCGGGUAAAAAUCCCCUUUUACUUUAGUAAAAAGUAUUAUAAGUAAUUAUGUAUCAAAAAAUUGAAGUAAUUUACUGCUAGCUAGCUAGCUACAUUUUAAAUCACGCUUCAUAUAGGACUACUAAGAUUGUUUUUAAAUUAAUGGAUGUCCAAUUUGGGUGCGUGCGUAGCAAUAAAAAUUGUUGUGGCGUGCUCUUAAACAAAAUCUGAUAAAAGUAAAAUUAAACUUUUUUGUAUUUAACUUACUUCAUGAGUUUUAGAAGUUAUGCAUUCUAAAUGAGUGCGGUAUUUAAAGGAAAUUGUGAAAUUUAACCAAUCAACAAAAAGGCAGUUUCUCGGCAAAUGAUUAUUUGAGAAACUAUAUGAAUCUGACAUGACUUUUAAAACCACAUGUUGUUUCUGCCUAAUAACAUUUUGGUCAUUCAAGCUAAAAACACAAAUUUGUAUGUUCUCUGACCUGGCAAGCCAAACAAAAAGAUUCAAGUAGUUAUUCUUCAUUAUGACUUACACGCAUUAUACUCGACCGUCAUGAUCAGAGGUCUGAUCGGGGUGAAGCAUUCUCUGAUGAGAAUGAAAUACGGAUGUGCUAUGACAAAUAUUCACCUAUAAAAAGAUUCAUGUUUACCACUGCCAUAUCAACAUAGCAUUGUAAAAGACCUAAUUUUAUUCCAAUGAACUCGGCACUUUUAAGUCAAUUCUAUAAAUUUCUAUAAAUAUAAUAUAAUUAUUAUAAUUAAUAAGAGCAAUAUCGUAACAUUUGAAUUUCUUUUUUCAUAAAACAAGUACGUCUAAUCAGCUUGAAGAUUAACAA
This is a long non-coding RNA of Hydractinia symbiolongicarpus, 3048 nucleotides long. RefSeq lists it as uncharacterized. The record is from RefSeq and is a predicted model, not a curated record. The transcript is spliced from 3 exons. NCBI's taxonomy places the organism in Eukaryota, Metazoa, Cnidaria, Hydrozoa, Anthoathecata, Hydractiniidae.